Molecule: ribosomal RNA, 253 nt
Filed under: uncultured bacterium
Lineage: Bacteria
Description: partial 16S ribosomal RNA
Rfam family: Bacterial small subunit ribosomal RNA
Source: RNAcentral
UACGGAGGGUGCAAGCGUUGUCCGGAUUUAUUGGGUUUAAAGGGUGCGUAGGCGGCCCGUUAAGUCAGUGGUGAAAGCCUCCAGCUCAACUGGAGAACUGCCAUUGAUACUGACGGGCUUGAGUACAGACGAGGUUGGCGGAAUUGAUUGUGUAGCGGUGAAAUGCAUAGAUACAAUCAAGGACUCCGAUUGCGUAGGCAGCUAACUAGGCUGUAACUGACGCUGAGGCACGAAAGCGUGGGGAGCGAACAGG